This 422-nucleotide ribosomal RNA is filed under the name Fusobacteriota bacterium. RNAcentral's name for it is "Fusobacteria bacterium partial 16S ribosomal RNA". It matches the Rfam family "Bacterial small subunit ribosomal RNA", at positions 355 to 776 of the family's 1533-position model. Lineage: Bacteria; Fusobacteriati; Fusobacteriota. The record is from RNAcentral.
UGGGGGAUUUUGCACAAUGGGCGCAAGCCUGAUGCAGCGACGCCGCGUGAGGGAUGAAGGCCUUCGGGUUGUAAACCUCUUUCGCUGGGUUGAAAGGCCAUGCUUUGGGUGUGGUUGAUUUGAACUGGUAAAGAAGUACCGGCUAACUACGUGCCAGCAGUCGCGGUAAUACGUAGGGUACUAGCGUUGUCCGGAUUUAUUGGGCGUAAAGGGCUUGUAGGUGGUUUGUCGCGUCUGUCGUGAAAUCCUGUGGCUUAACCAUGGGCUUGCGGUGGGUACGGGCAGGCUUGAGUGCGGUAGGGGAGACUGGAAUUCCUGGUGUAGCGGUGGAAUGCGCAGAUAUCAGGAGGAACACCGGUGGCGAAGGCGGGUCUCUGGGCCGUUACUGACACUGAGGAGCGAAAGCGUGGGGAGCGAACAGG